UGCUAUCAGGAAACGGGACUCCCUUUCUCCUGGGACCCAAAACAAACAUUUCUGCUCUCCUGUUUCUCUGUUUCUCCUGACCGCGCCCCACCCGGUUUGGAGGUCCACACGUGCCUUAAACCCAGGUCCCUGGCUGCAGAGAGAAGGGGAGGUCCACGAGGAAGGGAUGAACUGGGCUGAAGAGGCUCUUUCGUUUUCGGAACGGGAGGCCUCCGCGGGCAUUUGCAGUUUCCGCCGCCCGUUGCAGCUCGAGAGGGUCUCGUUGCAGAAGCGUUUGGAGAAGGACGCAGCAGGACGCGUGUAGCCAGAACCACACAAUCACGAAAUAGCCAGGACUCCCUCGCUGCCCCUUCUGCCGCCGCCCCCCCAAUAUCGGGGGGGGGGCUCGUUUUGAAGCAGGAAAGGAAAAACAAAAGAGAUAUUUUCCUUGGGAGUGACGAGGGGGGAAGAAAGAGAAUCUUCGGGUUUUUUUUAAAAGCUGCCUUGGUUUUUCUGAUGGCCACCAUCCGAUCCAGCCAAGUGGAAAAGUUUCUCCACUUUCUCAGCCCAUGUCUCCAGCAGAAAAUUUGGGGAUUCCUCGAGGACUUUGGCAUAUGCACCAUUAAUAAACAAAUGAAAAAUAAAUAAAACAACCUUCCCACAGCAAUCUCCUGUUUUAAACAUGGUGGGUUUUUUUUAUACUUGUGAUACGGGAAACAAGCAGACAGGCAAGAAGAAAUAAAUAUAUUGUCCUGAAAGGCUCA
Molecule: long non-coding RNA, 743 nt
Filed under: Salvator merianae (Argentine black and white tegu)
Lineage: Eukaryota; Metazoa; Chordata; Lepidosauria; Squamata; Teiidae
Description: lncRNA (ENSSMRG00000009601.1)
Source: RNAcentral